RNAcentral lists this ribosomal RNA (667 nucleotides) under uncultured Methanospirillum sp. RNAcentral's name for it is "bacterial SSU rRNA". It matches the Rfam family "Archaeal small subunit ribosomal RNA", at positions 90 to 763 of the family's 1478-position model. Lineage: Archaea; Methanobacteriati; Methanobacteriota; Methanomicrobia; Methanomicrobiales; Methanospirillaceae. The record is from RNAcentral.
UCAGUAACACGGGGACUAUCUGCCUGAAGAAGAGAAUAAUCCCGGGAAACUGGGGGUAAUGCUCUAUAGUCCGGAACAACUGGAAUGUUUUCCGGAUGAAAGAUCCGUCGCUUCAGGAUGAGUCUGCGGCCGAUUAGGUAGUUGUUGGGGUAAAAGCCCAACAAGCCCGUAAUCGGUACGGGUUGUGGGAGCAAGAGCCCGGAGAUGGAUUCUGAGACACGAAUCCAGGCCCUACGGGGCGCAGCAGGCGCGAAAACUUUACAAUGCGGGCAACCGUGAUAAGGAAACCCCGAGUGCCAGCACAGGCUGGCUGUCCACCAGUGUAAACAACUGGUGAAGAAAGGGCUGGGCAAGACCGGUGCCAGCCGCCGCGGUAAUACCGGCGGCUCGAGUGGUGGCCGCUUUUACUGGGCUUAAAGGGUCCGUAGCUGGAUUCACAAGUCCCUUGAGAAAUCUAUCGGCUUAACUGAUAGGCGUUCAGGGGAUACUGUGGUUCUAGGGACCGGGAGAGGUGAGAGGUACUGCCGGGGUAGGAGUGAAAUCCUGUAAUCCCGGUGGGACGACCUAUAGCGAAGGCAUCUCACCAGAACGGCUCCGACAGUGAGGGACGAAAGCUGGGGGAGCAAACCGGAUUAGAUACCCGGGUAGUCCCAGCUGUAAACGAUGC